GAUGAACGCUGGCGGCGUGCUUAAUACAUGCAAGUCGAACGGAGACAGUAGCAAUAUUGUCUUAGUGGCGAACGGGUGAGUAACGCGUUGGUGACCUGCCCCGAAGAGAGGGAUAGCAGUUCGAAAGGACUGAUAAUACCUCAUGUGGUUAUUGGUUUUAGAAUCUGAUAACUAAACGGAUUUAUUCGCUUCGGGAGGGGCCUGCGUCCCAUCAGCUAGUUGGUAAGGUAAUGGCCUACCAAGGCGAUGACGGGUAGGGACCUGAGAGGGUGGCCCCCCACAAUGGAACUGAAACACGGUCCAUACACCUACGGGUGGCAGCAGUAGGGAAUAUUGGUAAUGUGCGAAAGCGCGAACCAGCAACGCCGCGUGCACGAUGAAGGCCUUCGGGUUGUAAAGUGCUUUUAGAGAGGAUGAGGAAGGACAGUACUUUCUGAAUAAGCCUCGGCUAACUACGUG
This 459-nucleotide ribosomal RNA is filed under the name uncultured bacterium. RNAcentral describes it as "bacterial SSU rRNA". It matches the Rfam family "Bacterial small subunit ribosomal RNA", at positions 28 to 507 of the family's 1533-position model. The record is from RNAcentral.